CCUACGGGAGGCAGCAGUAAGGAAUAUUGGUCAAUGGAGGCAACUCUGAACCAGCCAUGCCGCGUGCAGGAAGAAGGCCCUAUGGGUCGUAAACUGCUUUUGUACCAGAGAAAACCCGAGUACGUGUACUCGGUUGAUAGUAUGGUAAGAAUAAGCAUCGGCUAACUUCGUGCCAGCAGCCGCGGUAAGACGAAGGAUGCAAGCGUUAUCCGGAUUCAUUGGGUUUAAAGGGUGCGUAGGCGGACUGAUAAGUCAGUGGUGAAAUCUCUCGGCUUAAACCGAGAAACUGCCAUUGAUACUGUUAGUCUAGAGUAUAGAUGACGUUGGCGGAAAUAUGACAUGUAGUGGUGAAAUACUUAGAUAUGUCAUAGAACACCGAUUGCGAAGGCAGCUAACGAAACUAUAACUGACGCUGAGGCACGAAAGUGCGGGGAUCAAACAGGAUUAGAUACCCUGGUAGUCCGCACCGUAAACGAUGAUUACUCGUUGUUGGCAAAUUAUGACCGUCACGCGACCGAACGACGAACGACGAGUAAGUAAUACCACCGUACGGGGAGGUACGGACCGGCCGAACCGGUACGGAAACGUAAACGUAAAGUUAAGUACGGACGUGAGAGAGACGACGACGACGACGACGGGAGGGAGGAGG
RNAcentral lists this ribosomal RNA (649 nucleotides) under uncultured bacterium. RNAcentral describes it as "bacterial SSU rRNA". The stretch from base 1 to 547 matches the Rfam family "Bacterial small subunit ribosomal RNA", at positions 338 to 873 of the family's 1533-position model. The record is from RNAcentral.